CAAGUAUUGACUGCUUUUCAUUGUUAUUUCUUGUCAAGCUUAUUUCCUUGUUCCUCAAAACAGUCUUGACUCAACUAGUCAGAAGAGAAAUAUGUGAUUGAGUAAGAUCAGAGAGCUGAAGAAGAUUAAUCCAUGGCAGAAAAAUAUGGAAUUGAUGAGCCAAAAACAAACAGAGAGAGCAUGGACAAACCUAUCACAUUUACCAUAACAGGAGCCAUCAUAUCUAAAGAAGAUCUGCUUUUAUAUUUAGAGAUUUUCAAUGAAUUCCAAAAACAAGAUAAAAAGAAAUACAGAGUAAGCUGGGAUGAGAAAACACACAUGUUACGAAGCCUGCGGAAGUCUUUUACCUCUAAUGACUCGGGUUAUGAUUCCAGAAGAGCAACACAAAUUCUAGAUUCAACCCAGCAAACAAAGACACGUCCAAAAGACGUCUAUUUAACGUCUUUCUUGAACGUUCAAAAGACGUCCACCGAGGAGCCAGAAUGAAAGUUUUAACAACGUCUUUUUUAGAUGUCGUUUUAAUGUUCAAUGUUGACGUCCAAGUGACAUAAAUACUGAACGUUAAGAAGACGUCCAAUGAGAAGCCAGAUUAAAGGUUUUUGCAACGUCUUUUUAACAUUACAUAUUGACGUCCAAGUGACAUAAAUAUUGAACGUUCAGAAGACGUCUGAGGAGCAAGAAUGAAAGGAUUUAUGACGUCUUUUUAACGUUCACUGAUAACAUCCAAGUGACAUAAAUAGUGAACCUUGAAAAUAUGUCUUUUUAAAAGUCUUCGAAAUGUUCAUUAUUAACCAAUUAUCAUCAUCCAAAUGACAUCCUAACAGUGUUGGAAAUGAAUGUCUUAACAACAUUUCAAAUGUCACUUACAAACAUCUAAAGGACAUUUAUACAAGUUAUGACGUGUUUCUUGGACUUAUUGGAGCCAGUUACACCCCAUUUAAACCAAAUGUAAUAUUUUAAUGGUUAUUAAUUUUUUAUCCAGUCUUAGUAUCAGCUUUAUUAAACACCAGGUUUUGUUAAUCAAUUCAGGUAGACUAUUGUUACAAGGUUUUAUGACCAUGCACAUGGUAUUCAAAAAACUCAUUCAUAGUAAAGGCAGUGUACAGAAGUACAGUUAAAAAAUUGUAAACUAUCCCCUCAGAUACACAAGAUAUAGGUGCGCAAAUACAAUAGCAAAUAGUAGCUUUAUUUACAAUUGGAAAUAUGUGACAUCUAUUAAGGGAAAACAAUGACAAGAGAAUAUUUUUUCCCAUCUUUAAUGUUUUCAGCAGAAUAUGAACAAGCUGAUAGGAAAAACAGUUUUUAAAGUACUUAAACUUAAGUGGAAAACAAAGAUAUAAGAUGAGGGAAGUUGAAAUGAAAAGAGAAUAUUUGUUCCAUUUGAAUGUUUUCAGCAGAAUAUGAACAAGCUGAUAAAUAAAACAAUUCUAAUAGAUAAAUUAGCAAUUAAACUGCUAACUGAAAAAAGACACAAAGAGAGGGAGGUAUAAAGUCCUAAAGACAUAUAUUUUUUAUUUUAUGUUUUAAAACGUCAAUACACUUCGCUUCUGUUUGGACUGAAAGCCGACAACCUUUCAUUUUAGAUUUAGAUUCAACUUUAUUGUCAUUACACACAUGGGCGCCGUAAAGGGGUGGAAGGUUAUGACGAUUCUAAGAGCCCUGGCUGAUUUAGGGCCCAGAAGAGCAGACCCCCUUUUUAUUUUCCUAUUUCUUUUCUCUUUUUUUAUACAUACAUUUAAUGUGCUAGGGCCCCUCGUGGACUAAAUGUGUAUUUUGUCCGUUUUGACCAUAGAUUUAAUAUUUAAAAAACAAAUAUUGUAUUAACUGUUUUAGUCACACACCUCCCUGCUCCCUCUCACAAUGGUUCAUUCCACCUGCGCUGUCCGAGCUACGAUCACUAGUGUAGCGUCUCUUGCUUAUUGGACUUGCUAUGCAGCGCAGACAGUGACACACAUCAAAAGUCAGGGCAUCAAAAACGGAAAGAAAAGAAGAAAAGAGAAGACAGAGAACGCCAAAGUCGACAGUAUCCCAACAAACAUUGGUCCGACGGCAACGUCGUGUCCCUGGCCUAAAAUAGUCGCGGUAGGACGGCAUAAACCGGUAAAAAUAUGUGACAUAUAACAUUUCCUAAAAAUGCAUUGAGAUACAUUUGUACAUGUCAACAGAUCUCUAUGGGUUGCAUGUAUGAUUGUUACUUUGACUUUAGCUACGUGUAAUUAUAUAAAUAUUGAAGCGGUUGAAAGGGCGUCCUCUUGUGACGUCCUCUACACGUGCAUUUUUAGUCCAUUGUGACCCUUUGUAAAGUUCUUAUGAAAUAAGCAAAAUAAAUUGUGCUUACCUUGCAUAAUACUGCAAUGAUUCAUUUGAGUGCCCAAUUAGUUAUAAAAAUGUUGUGAUAGACGUCCGUUGACGUUACACGUCAAACAACACCCAUUGCAAAAAGCAGGAAAUCUUUUUUUUAAAUACACGAUCAUUUGUAUUCAUCUUAGUUAAAUGACACAUUUACAUAUAUAAUGUUAUAAUAUCUGCUUUCACAAUUUAAAGUGGAUGAUUGCCAAAACUGUGCUGUCAAAAUCGGUGAUUCAUACUCCACUCCAGUUGGUGGCGGUAAUGCGCCUUCAGUUGAUUUACCAUCAGCAAUAAACUCUAAAGAAGAAGAAGACUCGGGAAUGGCGGUGUGGUUUAUUUCGAAAAGUGACGGAGUUAUACAAAUACUACUGUUGGGAUUCCAAAGGAAUAUUUUCCAUGCUUUUCGGUUUUAAAGAUGAACUUCAGUGAAUAUCUGGCAUUCUGGAACAUGGCAA
This is a long non-coding RNA of Triplophysa dalaica, 2804 nucleotides long. RefSeq lists it as uncharacterized. Lineage: Eukaryota; Metazoa; Chordata; Actinopteri; Cypriniformes; Nemacheilidae. The record is from RefSeq and is a predicted model, not a curated record. The transcript is spliced from 6 exons.